This 211-nucleotide ribosomal RNA is filed under the name uncultured Glomeromycotina. RNAcentral's name for it is "partial small subunit ribosomal RNA". It matches the Rfam family "Eukaryotic small subunit ribosomal RNA", at positions 569 to 758 of the family's 1831-position model. Lineage: Eukaryota; Fungi; Glomeromycota. The record is from RNAcentral.
AGCAGCCGCGGUAAUUCCAGCUCCAAUAGCGUAUAUUAAAGUUGUUGCAGUUAAAAGCUGUAGUUUGAAAUUUUUUGGAUCAGGUAACGCUUGUCAAGUGCAUUGGCUAGUCGAUGGCUUCGAUUUGGUCCAUUUUGGCUUUGGAUUUGCUCCCAUUUCCUUUGGGAAUGGAACCUGAUGAUCGUUUCAUUGGAAUUUUUCGGUUGCCCUU